This 253-nucleotide ribosomal RNA is filed under the name uncultured bacterium. RNAcentral describes it as "partial 16S ribosomal RNA". It matches the Rfam family "Bacterial small subunit ribosomal RNA", at positions 524 to 776 of the family's 1533-position model. The record is from RNAcentral.
UACGGAGGGAACUAGCGUUGUUCGGAUUUACUGGGCGUAAAGGGCGCGUAGGCGGUUUAUUAAGUUAGAAGUGAAAGCCUGGGGCUUAACCCCAGAACUGCUUCUAAAACUGGUAGGCUAGAGUGCGGGAGAGGAUAGUGGAAUUCCUAGUGUAGAGGUGAAAUUCUUAGAUAUUAGGAGGAACACCGGUGGCGAAAGCGACUAUCUGGAACGCAACUGACGCUGAGGCGCGAAAGCGUGGGGAGCAAACAGG